Molecule: ribosomal RNA, 117 nt
Filed under: Candidatus Poribacteria bacterium
Lineage: Bacteria; Candidatus Poribacteria
Source: RNAcentral
UCCGGUGACAAUAGCGAAGGGGAAACACCCGUUCCCGUUCCGAACACGGUAGUUAAGGCCUUCAGCGCCCAUGAUACUUCGAGGGAGACCUCGUGGGAAAGUAGGACGUUGCCGGGA